This 468-nucleotide ribosomal RNA is filed under the name uncultured bacterium. RNAcentral's name for it is "partial 16S ribosomal RNA". It matches the Rfam family "Bacterial small subunit ribosomal RNA", at positions 28 to 507 of the family's 1533-position model. The record is from RNAcentral.
GACGAACGCUGGCGGCGUGCUUAACACAUGCAAGUCGAACGGAAAGGCCCUGCUUUUGUGGGGUGCUCGAGUGGCGAACGGGUGAGUAACACGUGAGUAACCUGCCCAUGACUGUGGGAUAACUUCAGGAAACUGGGGCUAAUACCGGAUAGGAGCUCCUGCUGCAUGGUGGGGGUUGGAAAGUUUCGGCGGUUGGGGAUGGACUCGCGGCUUAUCAGCUUGUUGGUGGGGUAGUGGCUUACCAAGGCUUUGACGGGUCGCCGGCCUGAGAGGGUGACCGGCCACAUUGGGACUGAGGUACGGCCCAGACUCCUACGGUAGGCAGCAGUGGGGAAUAUUGCACAAUGGGCGGAAGCCUGAUGCAGCAACGCCGCGUGCGGGAUGCCGGCCUUCGGGUUGUAAACCGCUUUCGCCUGUGACGAAGCGUUAGUGACGGUAAUGGGUAAAGAAGCACCGGCUAACUACGUG